This 414-nucleotide ribosomal RNA is filed under the name Atanycolus hicoriae. RNAcentral describes it as "partial 16S ribosomal RNA". Lineage: Eukaryota; Metazoa; Arthropoda; Insecta; Hymenoptera; Braconidae. The record is from RNAcentral.
GUCUCUAAGAUUUUAAUUUAAAGUCUAAUCUGCCCAAUGAAUUUUUUUAAAUGGCUGCAGAAUUUUUUUACUGUACAAAGGUAGCAUAAUAAUUUGUUUUUUAAUUAAAAACUAGAAUAAAAGAUUAAAUGAAAUAUAAACUGUUUCAAUUAAUUUAUUAUUAAAUUUUUUAUUUAAGUUAAAAAACUUAAAUAAUAUUUAAAGACGACAAGACCCUAUAGAAUUUUAUUUAUUUUUUAUUUAUUUUUAAAUUUAAAUAAAUUUUAUUGGGGUAAUAAAAAAAUUUAAAUAAUUUUUUUUUAAAUUAACAUUUUUAAUGAAUUUUUUAUCUUAAUUUUUAAAUUAAAAAAAUUAAUUACCUUAGGGAUAACAGCAUAAUUUUUUUUAAAAGAUCUUAUUAAUAAAAAAGAUUAU